This 398-nucleotide long non-coding RNA is filed under the name Struthio camelus australis. RNAcentral's name for it is "lncRNA (ENSSCUG00000009955.1)". The record is from RNAcentral. Lineage: Eukaryota; Metazoa; Chordata; Aves; Struthioniformes; Struthionidae.
GUACACAUAGAAAGACUUCAAACUGCUGCCUGGAAGUGCCUUCUGGAAUCAGAUAACAUGCAUCAAGAGUAAGACAACCAAACCACAGGGUAGAGGUUUGCAGUGGUGUCACACACAGCUGCCAGCAGGUGUUGCAGCAGGUGACUACGUAAAGCUAUUCACUCAACUCCAGCACUCCAGUUACUUGCUCUUUACAGCAAGGAAAGCAGAGAAAACAAAGAGGAUGUUAGCUUUAACUUCAAAGCCCUCAUACCUCCAGCUUCAGCUCUUUACCCAAGGCAGUGCAGCCCAGAAAAGCAGCAGCAGGAUCCCAGCAUACAGAAUUAAGAAACCACAAGACUGGGAAUCACAGAAUCGUUUAGGUUGGAAGGGACCUCUGGAGAUCAUCUAGUCCAACC